CGGACAGUGUCUGGUGGGUAGUUUGACUGGGGCGGUCUCCUCCUAAAGAGUAACGGAGGAGCACGAAGGUUGGCUAAUCCUGGUCGGACAUCAGGAGGUUAGUGCAAUGGCAUAAGCCAGCUUGACUGCGAGCGUGACGGCGCGAGCAGGUGCGAAAGCAGGUCAUAGUGAUCCGGUGGUUCUGAAUGGAAGGGCCAUCGCUCAACGGAUAAAAGGUACUCCGGGGAUAACAGGCUGAUACCGCCCAAGAGUUCAUAUCGACGGCGGUGUUUGGCACCUCGAUGUCGGCUCAUCACAUCCUGGGGCUGAAGUAGGUCCCAAGGGUAUGGCUGUUCGCCAUUUAAAGUGGUACGCGAGCUGGGUUUAGAACGUCGUGAGACAGUUCGGUCCCUAUCUGCCGUGGGCGCUGGAGAACUGAGGGGGGCUGCUCCUAGUACGAGAGGACCGGAGUGGACGCAUCACUGGUGUUCGGGUUGUCAUGCCAAUGGCACUGCCCGGUAGCUAAAUGCGGAAGAGAUAAGUGCUGAAAGCAUCUAAGCACGAAACUUGCCCCGAGAUGAGUUCUCCCUGAGACUUAGAGUCUCCUGAAGGAACGUUGAAGACGACGACGUUGAUAGGCCGGGUGUGUA
This 629-nucleotide ribosomal RNA is filed under the name Salmonella enterica. RNAcentral describes it as "partial 23S ribosomal RNA". It matches the Rfam family "Bacterial large subunit ribosomal RNA", at positions 2248 to 2871 of the family's 2925-position model. Lineage: Bacteria; Pseudomonadati; Pseudomonadota; Gammaproteobacteria; Enterobacterales; Enterobacteriaceae. The record is from RNAcentral.